AUUAGAAGUCAGAGAAUUGUGCCAGGAAUGGAAAAGUCAGGGACAUAAGAGUGGAAGGAAAAGAUAGAUUUGGUGAAGAGUUUGCAGACUGGGCCUGGCCGCAUACCUAGUUGGGAGAGAUUAGUGCUGGCUUUAUUGUGUUUAUCUCUCUGUGGCCUAAGGAGUGUGUUUAAAGAGUCAGGAGCAGGAAUUCUUUUGUGGUGCAGCAGGUUAAGGAUCCUGUGUAGUAGCUCAGGUCACUGCUGUGGAGAGGGUUUGGUCCCUGGCUCAGGAGCUUCUGCAUGCCCCAGGAAUGAAAAAAAAAAAAAAAAAAAAAAAUCAGGAGCAGAGCUAGCACAGACCUGACUUUGUUCACUCCUUCAAAUUACCUUCUUCUUUGGGUUCCUAAUAUCCUAGUUUCCCUACGUUAACAAAUAGAAGGUUCUUGUAUUAGUUUCCUAGAGUUUCUACCACAAACCUAAUGGCCUAAAACAAUGCACAUUUAUUAUCUUACUGUUCUGGAGGUCAGAAGUCUGAAGUGGGUCCCACUGGGCUAUCAAAAUGUUGGCAGGACUGUGUUCCUUUCUGGAGACUUUAGGGGAGAAUCUUUUCCCAUGCCUUUUCGAUAAAAGAUCGAUCUCCAGCCUCAAAAAAUAUCUACUGGAAACCUCUGGCUGUGUGAUUACUUGCACGACAGCACCCAAGCCUCACAGACUCCCUUUUGAAAAUGAAGCAGCCCCAAGUAGAGCAUAUUCUCCAAAGCCUUCUUUAGAUGUGGUCACAGAGAAGAAUGGACAGGAUAAAACUCCUGUAUGAUAAAAUUUGGGGUCAUGGAGAGAAAAGGGCAAGGAUUCAGGAGUGAGGUCUUCACUUCCCCCACCUGUCUACCCCCAGGCAGCAAUAAUAGCAGCUGCCAUGUGGGAUAACCUACAGGUUCCCUCCAAUACCAAGGCAGGGAGUCUUCAGUAUUACUGCUCUGGAGGAUUUGAUGAUUGCGGUGAACCAGAGACUUCUGUGUCUUUCCCAUUCUUCUCUUUUUCAAAUAGAUUGUUUUACAUAUAUGUAUUAUUAUUAUAUAUAUAGGCAGUCCCAUUCCUGCUCUACAAUUUAUAACAGAAUGAUUGGAGGCAGGUAACUUAAUUUAUAGGCUACCAGACGAUGAAGAAUUAUAUGUGAACAUUAAAAAUCAGACUGAAUUAACCAGAGAUUGUGAACUUUACGCUGGAUGCUGAAACAGAUGGGACUUUGGUGGUUUCUGCCCCCAGAGAGGAAAUAAAUGUGGGGGAAGAAGGAUGCACAUUUGGAGACUCUGGUCACUGCUGUGGCACAGUUUUGAUCCCCAGCCUGGUAACUUCCACACGCUGUGAGCGCCACCAAAAAAAAAGUAGAAGAAACUUGGGCCCCCUGACACUGCGGACUGAUAUACCAGACUUUUACAUGAAAGAGAAAUACCUUUUCUCCUGUAAAGCUGGUAUUAUUUUAAGUUUUUAUUUGCAUGGGAGAAACCAUGUCUUCACUUUCAUAAACACGUCAAGUUUGAGGUACCUUUAAAAAUUUCUUACAAAAAGUGUCAAACAUACACAAAAGUAGAAAAAAUGGUAUAAUAAUUUCAUGUGUAUUCAGCUUUAACUUCAACAACUACCCCUUCGCCUAUCUGAAGCUAAACCCACACCUUCCCCUCUUUCCCCUGGAGUAUUUUGAAGCAAAUUCCAUGUAUUGUACCAGUUCUUCUAUAAAUGUUUUAGCAUGUAUCUCUAAAAGACAGAUUCUUUCUUUUAGAAAAACGAGGAGUUUCAAAUACUUUUGAGUAAAACAGAUGUAGAGACCUAGUAGAUAGUUGGGCAUAUCUCUUUACAUUCAGGAGAAAGGUCUGGCCUGAAGGCACUGCUUUGAGAGGUGUCCUCAUGGGUGGUAUUUAAGGCCUUCGUAAUAGAUGAGAUAAUUCAGGGAAGGUGGCCCCUUGAGUUGAAAAGAGAAAAAUUAUAUCAGUUCAGAUCAGCAAAGUUUUCUUUCACUGGUGUCAAGUAGCAUGAGAGGAGUUGUGAAAGAUACAGCAAAUGCAUAUGGGUGGG
RNAcentral lists this long non-coding RNA (2051 nucleotides) under Sus scrofa (pig). Its description in RNAcentral is "lncRNA (ENSSSCG00025038592.1)". The record is from RNAcentral. Lineage: Eukaryota; Metazoa; Chordata; Mammalia; Artiodactyla; Suidae.